AAAAGGCUUUUUUUGUCAACAUCCGUUGACCGGCCGUUAUUUGUAGGUAGAAAUUUUCUAGUGUAAAUUUUAUACAUUUUUUAACCUAGGAGCCGUUGCGAAAAAUGCAACUAUACUCUAUGGGUCCAUCUGGUAGGAAUCUAACCUGUAGCCCUGCGAUUCCGCUGCAGCGCUCUAAAACCUGGAGUCACGCCUCACGAUCUUUCUCAACGGCCAGUUUAUUACAGUCUAUUAUACCUGUAAACAUAACCACAUAUAAACCAUAAGUAUUCUCUUGUUAUAAUCGCUCCGCGUAUUUUCAAUUCCGAAAUGUUGUAUUUGGGCUGAUGAGAAAGAUCGUGACUCAAUCUUUACGACCGUUACGACCAUAUGGAGAUCAGAACCUGAACUUUAAUAGUUUAGUAUGGAAAAAGGUAAUUCAAUAAAUUAAUUUAAGAGGAGGAAAAAACUCUAUUAGAUAACAAAAACAUUCAUAAUAAAAAAUCUCUUGUUCGUCGCUGUUGUUUCAUCUUCAAUUGGGUUGUUGCUGUUGUUUUUCUACUUUUUGCUGGUCAUUUACGGUCUUUCGUUGUGGCACGUGUUCGCUUCAAUGCAAACGUAGCUUUAUAUUUCAAAGAGAUCCAUAUUAAAAUAUUCUUUAACAUCGUUUGCCAGUAAUUGACAAUCUUGGACAGCUUCGUCGCACCU
Paramuricea clavata is the source of this 687-nucleotide non-coding RNA. Lineage: Eukaryota; Metazoa; Cnidaria; Anthozoa; Malacalcyonacea; Plexauridae. The record is from the annotation of a GenBank genome assembly.